UCUUAGUUGUGAUUUCCUCUUCUCAGAUACCACUAGCUUGUGCCAAUUUGACAUAAAAACUAGCCAGAGCAAGUAUAUAUAUAAAUGGAAUGAAUACCUAGGGCAUCCGUGUGUUCCAGAGGCACAGCUUAAGUAUAAAUCAGUAUCGUGUCAUGACCGCCUCAACCAGCAAGAAUAACGCAACACAGGAGCUCUUCUUGCAAGCAGUUUAUUCAGAACCCUUUUCAACAGCGAUCUCGCUCCUCGGGCAAGCCUCUCCCAGCCCUUAAGUAGGCAUUGACCACCAACCCUGGAUUGCCACGUGGGCACCGCCCACAGGUUCAUGCAUACGCAAGCAGCUUACGAUCAUCUGGCCUUAGCCAUAUAUGGAGUUGUUUUUCUAAGAGAGGAGGGCGGGAGCCAGCGCCAUCUUUAAGGUGCGGCUCCACACCGCUCUCUACAGUUAAGGUGCGGCUCCACACAGCUCUCUACAGUAUCGGACAAAAGAAGUGGCAAAUAUAGAGAAAUUUGGCACUGGGAGAGAAGAUUCCAAAUGUGAAGUUUCUAGAUUCUUAGUGUUAAGUUAGUACCUCAGCAUUGAUUGUAGUCAUGUAUGCACUGCUGCUCACCAAGGUAGCUCAAUCAGGUUUUGGUGUCCAGAAUUUUUACUGAGAUUUCAUUAUGUAGACAUGGCUUUUCAGCUCUCCUGAAUCAUCUCGUUAGCAGAAACUGUCUAGAUGUCAAAGUUAGCAUCAUUAUUUGAGUACAGUCUAAGGGCCCCACAUGAACAGCAAAGAUAUUCCCAUCAAUGUGGGAAAUCCUACAGGUUUAGUGGUCACAUCCCAGGAUUUGAAGCAAUGUCAGAUCUUACUGAAUUGUAAUGAGUGGAACCUUAGGUAUAAUGGCUUAGUACUUCAAACAAAGGCUUAUUGCUUGCUCACGAUACAAUCCAGGAGCUUCAUGGUUGGCUGGAGCUUUCUGUUCUAUACAGUCAUAAACAUUUAGGCGGAAUGUCGAUGGGGAAAUUUCACAAGGCUCCACCCCCGGAUGUGGAGUUACAAGUAGUCAAUGGCUGAUGAGAGAGGAAGAGUCAAAUGGUUUUUUCCCCAGAUAUGAGACACACUUGACAGGUUAUUUAAUCCCAAGUGUUUACAAUCCAUAAACAAUGUAUAUAUGAGCAACACUAAAUGGAAUAAUAUAUAUCUAUACAUCAGUAUCAAUAAAGAGAUCAUGAAUUUUAGAGGGAGUGAGAGGCAUGGGAGCAGUUGGGGGUGGAAUUGAUGCAAAUACAGUGCUAAUGUGUGAAAUUCUAAAAUAGAUGAACUCUAGGCUAAUAAGCAUUCCACCUGUCACACAGAGCCUUCAGAGUGGAUGUGGGUCCCACAGUCAGUUUGUGAGUGAGGGUUCAAACGUAGCACUUUUGGCUAUGGCUCAUGUCACUUUUACUUGCACCCCAUUCUUAUACCCCAUUUGCUAAUACUCAUUCAUAG
Molecule: long non-coding RNA, 1469 nt
Filed under: Cricetulus griseus (Chinese hamster)
Lineage: Eukaryota; Metazoa; Chordata; Mammalia; Rodentia; Cricetidae
Description: lncRNA (ENSCGRG00015031803.1)
Source: RNAcentral